Molecule: long non-coding RNA, 783 nt
Organism: Labeo rohita (rohu)
Lineage: Eukaryota; Metazoa; Chordata; Actinopteri; Cypriniformes; Cyprinidae
Exons: 3
Source: RefSeq, a predicted model, not a curated record
GCAACAGCGCAAGGGCGAUGAACCAGCAUCAGCAUCAGAGAUCCGGAGCAUCAGUGUUCAACCCACGCAGCUGGAUCACUGAAAUGAUGAAGCGUUGCGUUGAAUCUCAUCAGGUCCUUCUGGGUCAGAGACAUUUUGUGACAAAGUCAAGAUAACUGAAACCGACAUCAGAAGGAAAAAUCUUCAAAGAGACAGCACAAGAAAGGAUGUACAUAGUGAAUGAGAAAUUAUACCUUUCUGACAAUAUGAAUCCUGCAUCCUGCUGACUCAAACUGGGCACAAGAAUUGCAUGGUUUGUUUGGAGGAGAGCAUACCCAAAGGGACUGUCUGAGUGAGUCGAUGAACAUGAGCAUUAAAGAGGAAAAGCGAGACGAUGGAUGGAUGAAAAGAUGGAUGGUUGCGUGGAAGAGCUUGAGGGCUUUUCUGAGAGGAGACACUACUGUUACAUGAUCCAGCAAGAAGCACAUCCAAAGAGGUAUUUCACUCAAAAACAUCAAAUUUCUCACUCAUGUGUUGCAUGAAAUCAAUAUAUUGUUCUGUGGAACACAAAAGUGGACUUUUUUGACAGUUUAUAGUGAAAGAUUAUAAAAGUAGUCCGUUUGACUCAUUCUCUGUGCUUUAAGUCAUCUAAAGCCGUAUUAUAACAUUAUGUGAUGAAAAUAGAAAAACUAAAGUCAUUAUUUCCUAAUAAUCUUGGUGUUUCUGGUAAAAUAUGUAAAUGACUCAGCUACAUCCCUCACAUACACACCUAGACAUGCACAGAACUAAUAAUAAACUCUUCGA